Molecule: microRNA precursor, 94 nt
Filed under: Anas platyrhynchos (mallard)
Lineage: Eukaryota; Metazoa; Chordata; Aves; Anseriformes; Anatidae
Also listed under: 7 other names
Description: mir-146 microRNA precursor family
Rfam family: mir-146 microRNA precursor family
Source: Rfam by way of RNAcentral
GUGUAUUCUCAGCUUUGAGAACUGAAUUCCAUGGGUUGUAAUUGAAUCCUCUGUCAGACCCAUGGGGCUCAGUUCUUCAGCUUGGAUAUUUCUG